AUUGAACGCUGGCGGCAGGCCUAACACAUGCAAGUCGAGCGGAAACGAUCCUAGCUUGCUAGGAGGCGUCGAGCGGCGGACGGGUGAGUAACGCGCGAGAAUCUACCCAUGAGUGGGGGACAACCCGGGGAAACUCGGGCUAAUACCGCAUACGCCCUACGGGGUAAAGCAGGGGACCUUCGGGCCUUGCGCUGAUGGAUGAGCUCGCGUCGGAUUAGCUUGUUGGUGAGGUAAAGGCUCACCAAGGCGACGAUCCGUAGCUGGUCUGAGAGGAUGAUCAGCCACACCGGGACUGAGACACGGCCCGGACUCCUACGGGAGGCAGCAGUGGGGAAUCUUGGACAAUGGGGGCAACCCUGAUCCAGCCAUGCCGCGUGUGUGAAGAAGGCCUUCGGGUUGUAAAGCACUUUCAGCAGGGAGGAAGGCUUACCCCUAAUACGGGUGAGUACUUGACGUUACCUGCAGAAGAAGCACCGGCUAAUUUCGUG
This 488-nucleotide ribosomal RNA is filed under the name uncultured bacterium. RNAcentral describes it as "bacterial SSU rRNA". It matches the Rfam family "Bacterial small subunit ribosomal RNA", at positions 29 to 507 of the family's 1533-position model. The record is from RNAcentral.